UACAGAGGUCUCAAGCGUUGUUCGGAUUCAUUGGGCGUAAAGGGUGCGUAGGUGGUGAGGUAAGUCGGAUGUGAAAUCUCGGAGCUUAACUCCGAAAUGGCAUUGGAAACUACCUCGCUAGAGGAUCGGAGGGGAGACUGGAAUUCUCGGUGUAGCAGUGAAAUGCGUAGAUAUCGAGAGGAACACCAGUGGCGAAGGCGAGUCUCUGGACGAUUCCUGACGCUGAGGCACGAAAGCCAGGGGAGCAAACGGG
Molecule: ribosomal RNA, 253 nt
Filed under: uncultured bacterium
Lineage: Bacteria
Description: partial 16S ribosomal RNA
Rfam family: Bacterial small subunit ribosomal RNA
Source: RNAcentral